RNAcentral lists this transfer RNA (82 nucleotides) under Verrucomicrobiota bacterium. RNAcentral's name for it is "Verrucomicrobia bacterium (activated sludge metagenome) tRNA-Tyr". It matches the Rfam family "tRNA". From Rfam's summary of the family: Transfer RNA (tRNA) molecules are approximately 80 nucleotides in length. Their secondary structure includes four short double-helical elements and three loops (D, anti-codon, and T loops). The record is from RNAcentral. RNAcentral also lists the same sequence under 3 other names. Lineage: Bacteria; Pseudomonadati; Verrucomicrobiota.
GGGGGUGUCGCAUAGUGGCAAUUGCAGGGGACUGUAAAUCCCCCGACUUCGGUCUUCGUGUGUUCGAGUCACACCGCCCCCA